RNAcentral lists this ribosomal RNA (253 nucleotides) under uncultured bacterium. RNAcentral's name for it is "partial 16S ribosomal RNA". It matches the Rfam family "Bacterial small subunit ribosomal RNA", at positions 524 to 776 of the family's 1533-position model. The record is from RNAcentral.
UACGGAGGGUGCGAGCGUUGUUCGGAAUCACUGGGCGUAAAGCGCGUGUAGGCGGCCCGCUAAGUCUGAUGUGAAAGCCCGAGGCUCACCCUCGGAAGUGCAUUGGAAACUGGCGGACUGGAGUCCCGGAGAGGAGGGUGGAAUUCCUGGUGUAGCGGUGAAAUGCGUAGAUAUCAGGAGGAACACCGGUGGCGAAGGCGGCCCUCUGGACGGUGACUGACGCUGAGACGCGAAAGCGUGGGGAGCAAACAGG